AGAGUUUGAUCAUGGCUCAGGAUGAACGCUGGCGGCGUGCCUAACACAUGCAAGUCGAGCGGAGUUUUAUGAGAGCUUGCUUUUAUAAAACUUAGCGGCGGACGGGUGAGUAACGCGUGGGUAACCUGCCCUAUACACAGGGAUAACAUUGAGAAAUUGAUGCUAAUACCUGAUAAGCCAACAAGUAGGCAUCUACAAGUUGGAAAAACUGAGGUGGUAUAGGAGGGGCCCGCGUCUGAUUAGCUAGUUGGUGGGGUAAAGGCCUACCAAGGCGACGAUCAGUAGCCGACCUGAGAGGGUGAUCGGCCACAUUGGAACUGAGACACGGUCCAAACUCCUACGGGAGGCAGCAGUGGGGAAUAUUGCACAAUGGGGGGAACCCUGAUGCAGCAACGCCGCGUGAAGGAAGAAGUAUUUCGGUAUGUAAACUUCUAUCGACAGGGAAGAAAGAAAUGACGGUACCUGAAUAAGAAGCACCGGCUAAAUACGUGCCAGCAGCCGCGGUAAUACGUAUGGUGCAAGCGUUAUCCGGAUUUACUGGGUGUAAAGGGUGAGUAGGCGGUUAUGCAAGUCAUAUGUGAAAUUCUGGGGCUCAACCUCAGAGCUGCAUAAGAAACUGUGUAACUAGAGUACAGGAGAGGUAAGCGGAAUUCCUAGUGUAGCGGUGAAGUGCGUAGAUAUUAGGAAGAACACCGGUGGCGAAGGCGGCUUACUGGACUGAAACUGACGCUGAGUCACGAAAGCGUGGGGAGCGAACAGGAUUAGAUACCCUGGUAGUCC
RNAcentral lists this ribosomal RNA (780 nucleotides) under uncultured bacterium. RNAcentral's name for it is "bacterial SSU rRNA". It matches the Rfam family "Bacterial small subunit ribosomal RNA", at positions 8 to 796 of the family's 1533-position model. The record is from RNAcentral.